Molecule: ribosomal RNA, 253 nt
Filed under: uncultured bacterium
Lineage: Bacteria
Description: partial 16S ribosomal RNA
Rfam family: Bacterial small subunit ribosomal RNA
Source: RNAcentral
UACAGGGGGUGCAAACGUUGCUCGGAAUCAUUGGGCGUAAAGCGCAUGUAGGCGGUUCGAUAAGUCCGCUGUUAAAGCCCCCGGCUCAACUGGGGGAGGUCAGUGGAGACUAUAGGACUUGAGGGCAACAGAGGCACGUGGAACUCCCGGUGUAGCGGUGGAAUGCGUAGAGAUCGGGAAGAACACCAGUGGCGAAGGCGACGUGCUGGGUUGCGACUGACGCUGAGAUGCGAAAGUGUGGGGAGCAAACGGG